UGGGCAACCUGCCCUCAGCUCUGGGAUAACUCCGGGAAACCGGGGCUAAUACCGGAUACGACCUUCUCCUGCAUGGCAGUUGGUGGAAAGUUCUUCGGCUGAGGAUGGGCCCGCGGCCUAUCAGCUUGUUGGUGGGGUAGUGGCCUACCAAGGCGACGACGGGUAGCCGGCCUGAGAGGGUGACCGGCCACACUGGGACCGAGACACGGCCCAGACUCCUACGGGAGGCA
RNAcentral lists this ribosomal RNA (230 nucleotides) under uncultured bacterium. RNAcentral's name for it is "partial 16S ribosomal RNA". It matches the Rfam family "Bacterial small subunit ribosomal RNA", at positions 118 to 350 of the family's 1533-position model. The record is from RNAcentral.